Molecule: transfer RNA, 75 nt
Filed under: Pseudomonadota bacterium
Lineage: Bacteria; Pseudomonadati; Pseudomonadota
Description: tRNA-Gly
Rfam family: tRNA
About the family: Transfer RNA (tRNA) molecules are approximately 80 nucleotides in length. Their secondary structure includes four short double-helical elements and three loops (D, anti-codon, and T loops).
Source: RNAcentral
GCGGGCGUAGCUCAGUGGUAGAGUGCCACCUUGCCAAGGUGGAUGUCGAGGGUUCGAAUCCCUUCGCCCGCUCCA